RNAcentral lists this non-coding RNA (23 nucleotides) under Arabidopsis thaliana (thale cress). Lineage: Eukaryota; Viridiplantae; Streptophyta; Magnoliopsida; Brassicales; Brassicaceae. The record is from RNAcentral.
CCGGUGAAGUGUUCGGAUCGCGG